RNAcentral lists this unclassified non-coding RNA (391 nucleotides) under soil metagenome. Its description in RNAcentral is "partial contains 5.8S ribosomal RNA, internal transcribed spacer 2, and large subunit ribosomal RNA". The stretch from base 1 to 122 matches the Rfam family "5.8S ribosomal RNA", at positions 35 to 154 of the family's 154-position model. The record is from RNAcentral.
GAUGAAGAACGUAGCGAAAUGCGAUACUUGGUGUGAAUUGCAGAAUCCCGCGAAUCAUCGAGUUUUUGAACGCAAGUUGCGCCCGAAGCCAUUCGGCCGAGGGCACGUCUGCCUGGGUGUCACGCAUCGUUGCCCCCCCCAAACUUCGGUUCGGGCGGGGCAGAAGUUGGCCUCCCGUGCGUGCCUGCGCGUGCGGUUAGCCCAAAAGCGAGUCCUCGGCGACGAGCGCCACGAAAAUCGGUGGUUUUUUUGCCCUCGUUCCUCGUCGUGCGUGCCCCGUCGCCCGAACGCGCUCUUGCGACCUUCACGCGUCGCCUCGGUGGCGCUCCCAACGCGACCCCAGGUCAGGCGGGACUACCCGCUGAGUUUAAGCAUAUCAAUAAGCGGAGGA